Molecule: long non-coding RNA, 810 nt
Organism: Bos taurus (domestic cattle)
Lineage: Eukaryota; Metazoa; Chordata; Mammalia; Artiodactyla; Bovidae
Source: Ensembl
GGACAAUUUAAGAGAAUCCAGGAGCUUUGACUAACCGGCUACUCAGCCAUGACCCUGCCCUGUUGAAGGAAGUAGAAAGGACGGGAAUUGGUCAGUCAACAGCACUCAGGUGCCAAGUCGUGAACACACUGUGGGGAGGAGACCGGCAACAGAAAAUGACUGGAAGACACAAGGAAUCCCUAAAAGAUCGAAAAAAUGUUCUCCGCAAUCUAAACAAAGUUAGAUUGGGAAAUGCAGCAUGGUACCAUGGGGGCCUGGUUCGGCCAUGACCCGCCUGCCCGCAGGCGCCGGCCUCAGAUGCUCAGAGCGGCCUGGGGAGAGAGGGGAUGCUUUGACUUUUCAAGAUCUAAGAGUUAUGGUUCCCUUUUGGCGAAAUGCUUUUUGUCCUGUCAUAACUUGAGUCCUUUGUGGUAGCACCGAUUGUGGCCUCGGAAGCCCAGGCUGCAGCUUCCUAUGCCUGGGGUUGACAAGAAACCAGAAAAGUCUAGGUGUCUCGAGCUCUGGAGUGGACCACAGAUGGUUAAAACACUGUGAAAUGUGUUUUCAGGGGUAAGAGGACAGAAAAGCCUAAAGCAGACCUUCAACUGGACCUCCACCAGUCUUCCGCUCUCCAGAAAGUUCUCAUUCAUUCAACCCAAGGGUAGCUCAAUGGCUUUUCUGAGGACGACUGGAAGUGUCAGCAGGAGUCCUGGCCACAGGGAAAAAUCAAGCUACCUGAGCUUGGAGACAAAGCUCUCAACUCGGCAGUCUGUGUCUUCAGAUGCUGUGCUUUCCUUACUCAAUUUAAACUUGGAGAAAAGUAAAUAAACA